ACUGAACAAUGAUAGCUGCAGGUUAUUCUCUAUGACCAAGUGUUAAUUAUUUUGGACAAACAAUCAGGAUAUAAAAAAGAGUGAUUCUGGCUAGAUUUUUAGGAGACUGCAAAAUAUUUCUUGCUUAGAUCUCCUGUCACAUGCCACUUAUGAUGUCAUAUUUAGAACUGUAAAUCCAUUUACAAGUUGGACAAAUGAUAUCACUGAAAAACAUUUUUGGAGGAUCACCUAACUUCUUCCAUGCAAAUAUAAUAAUAGUACAUCUCUCGUGCAAAUAUAGGGAAGAGUGGUCAUGAACUAUUUUGGGAAAAGGGUACUCACCAGAUGGACAAAGAGAGACUAUUCAGUCAGAAACAGAGGAGCAGAAGAACAGAAAUAAAUAUUAUUAAAGGUUUUGAUGCAGAACAGAGAAAUAUUGGGUAGAAUUAGGAAUGCAGAAACUCUCCUUGAAUUAUCCAGGAAGAUAACCAGCCCAACUUUCAACCCAACUGAGGCCUUUAAAAUGUAUUUUCUCAUGAAGGACAGUCUGCAAGGUGAAAAGCUCAACAUUUUUUUCAGAGAAUGGUGCAAAAAUUGUUUCUGUGGCGACAAUUUUCUUCACAAAUGAAAAUUAUCCCUGUCUGUGAAAAACGCCCAUAACUGAUGUCCUGGGCCCUGCCAGCUUCCAAUCUCUGAGCCAGGUCUGACUUCACUGAAGUCAAGCUAUUUUUCACAACAGGAGGAGAAAAACCUUGUGCUGUGGUGCCACUUGUGUCUUUACUUCAUUCCCACCACCACUGCUGGUGCUGCUCAGUCCUUGGAGGAUUCAUCCAGACAAGGAUCCACACACCUCAGCCUAUGAGGAAAUGCAUAAGGAAAUGCAUAAGCCUUAGGGCAUUCCUGGAAAUGAAUGAGCCCUGUGCUGUGCCCAGGAAAUCCUUCCCUUUCCAGUCAGGCAAGCAAGGAGCUGGUUACGGGUUAAAAUCCACCAAUGAGUAAGUCCCAAGGAAACACAAAGGAUGAGGCAUUUUGGACCAUAUUUGCAGCCAAGGCAGCAGUUCUGGAAAACUAAAAUACUCUGAAAUUUCUGGCCCCAUUCUCUCUUUCUGUAUAGAGUUUCCUUGAGAG
This 1107-nucleotide long non-coding RNA is filed under the name Cyanistes caeruleus (blue tit). RNAcentral's name for it is "lncRNA (ENSCCEG00000011587.1)". The record is from RNAcentral. Lineage: Eukaryota; Metazoa; Chordata; Aves; Passeriformes; Paridae.